Molecule: long non-coding RNA, 259 nt
Organism: Dermacentor silvarum
Lineage: Eukaryota; Metazoa; Arthropoda; Arachnida; Ixodida; Ixodidae
Exons: 3
Source: RefSeq, a predicted model, not a curated record
GAGAAACGUGGCACCGCCGCCUGCCUCGCACUGAACGAAGCGUUGGUGACAAACAUGGCAGCCAUUCGGAACCUUCUGUCAGUUUUCUUCGCAGUUUACGCUCUGCCUAACCUCCAAGCUUCUAAGUCACCCAACGCUCCCAGUCACCCAUUCUGCUACCGGCUUGUUCCACUGCAAAUAACAGCUGUCGUGACUCCAUGCACCUAUCCAUGUUUGCCGUUAUCAAGCAACGUGCAGCCCACAAUACGCAUGCAACAAG